This 248-nucleotide ribosomal RNA is filed under the name Massilia hydrophila. RNAcentral describes it as "partial 23S ribosomal RNA". It matches the Rfam family "Bacterial large subunit ribosomal RNA", at positions 2664 to 2925 of the family's 2925-position model. Lineage: Bacteria; Pseudomonadati; Pseudomonadota; Betaproteobacteria; Burkholderiales; Oxalobacteraceae. The record is from RNAcentral.
GAGUGGAUCUGACCUUAGUACGAGAGGACCGGGUUGGACAGACCUCUGGUGAACCUGUUAUGCCGCCAGGUGUACGGCAGGGUAGCUACGUCUGGAAUAGAUAAGCGCUGAAAGCAUCUAAGUGCGAAACUAGCCACGAGAUGAGACUUCCUUAUAGGGUCGUAGAAGAUGACUACGUUGAUAGGCCAUAGGUGUAAAGGUUGAGAGACCAAAGCCAAGUGGUACUAAUAGCCCGAAGCUUUCUCAAG